RNAcentral lists this ribosomal RNA (774 nucleotides) under uncultured Neocallimastigales. Its description in RNAcentral is "partial large subunit ribosomal RNA". It matches the Rfam family "Eukaryotic large subunit ribosomal RNA", at positions 26 to 616 of the family's 3401-position model. Lineage: Eukaryota; Fungi; Neocallimastigomycota; Neocallimastigomycetes; Neocallimastigales. The record is from RNAcentral.
CGCAUCUGUGCAUGCAGCAUAUCAAUAAGCGGAGGAAAAGAAACUAACAAGGAUUCCCCUAGUAACGGCGAGUGAAGCGGGAAGAGCUCAAAUUUGAAAUCUUAAAGGGUUUCCCUUUACGAAUUGUAGUUUAAAGAAGUGUUUUCUGUUGAGGUUUUGGUAAAAGUUCUUUGGAAUAGGACAUCAUAGAGGGUGAGAAUCCCGUAUUUGACCUUUACUUUCAACUUUGUGAUACACUUUCAAAGAGUCGGAUUGUUUGGGAAUGCAGUCCAAAAUGGGCGGUAAAUUUCAUCUAAAGCUAAAUAUUGGCGAGAGACCGAUAGCGAACAAGUACCGUGAGGGAAAGAUGAAAAGAACUUUGAAAAGAGAGUUAAACAGUACGUGAAAUUGUCAAAAGGGAAGCGUUUGACACCAGUGUUGUUUUUCUGAAAAUCAAUUAAAGAACUGUUUAUGCUAAGUUGUUUAGACUUUAUCAGCUAACUGUUUAGUUUUGAGCUUUUCUUUAAUGCACUUUUCAGUUAACAAGUCAACAUCAAUUUCUUUUGCUGUAAAAAAGCUUGAGGAAGGUGGCUUGAGAUUCGUCUUAAGUGUUUAUAGCCUCUUGCCUAUGCAGUCGGAGAGAUUGAGGUCUGCAGCGUAGAUCCUUCGGGGCUAAAUGCAUUUGUGCUAAGUUAUAGCAUUUUAUAGACAACUUGUUGACUAUGAUUUGUCUUGUAGCUUACUCGCUUAUGUUAUUUUACCUACGCUUAGGAUGUUGAGCGCAUGUCUCUCUCU